This 426-nucleotide ribosomal RNA is filed under the name uncultured bacterium. Its description in RNAcentral is "bacterial SSU rRNA". It matches the Rfam family "Bacterial small subunit ribosomal RNA", at positions 28 to 457 of the family's 1533-position model. The record is from RNAcentral.
GAUGAACGCUGGCGGCGCGCCUAACACAUGCAAGUCGAACGGCACCCCUCUCCGGAGGGAAGCGAGUGGCGAACGGCUGAGUAACGCGUGGAGAACCUGCCCCCUCCCCCGGGAUAGCCGCCCGAAAGGACGGGUAAUACCGGAUACCCCGGGGUGCCGCAUGGCACCCCGGCUAAAGCCCCGACGGGAGGGGAUGGCUCCGCGGCCCAUCAGGUAGACGGCGGGGUGACGGCCCACCGUGCCGACAACGGGUAGCCGGGUUGAGAGACCGACCGGCCAGAUUGGGACUGAGACACGGCCCAGACUCCUACGGGAGGCAGCAGUGGGGAAUCUUGCGCAAUGGGGGGAACCCUGACGCAGCGACGCCGCGUGCGGGACGGAGGCCUUCGGGUCGUAAACCGCUUUCAGCAGGGAAGAGUCAAGACU